CUCAUCACCCUUGUUAAUCCUGUUCUUGAACCUUUACCAGUCCUCAUCUUUCGAAAUAUUUCAGAUACUUGUCGUCCUGGGAGGAGCUCGUGGGCGCGGGCGUGGAGGCAGAAGGCUUCGCGAGCCAUCCCCUGCACGCCUACGCCCUCACCAAGCACGUGAGUCUGGGCUGGCCGCACGUGGAGGCUUCCUUACGUGCUCUCAGUAACCGCUCCCAAGCUAUAGACUUUCUCCUGGGGCGCACGAGGACCCGGGGCGUCCCCACGGGCGAGGACCUGGCCACGGUGGCGGGCGGGUUGGCCAGGCUGCACGACUACUACAGCCUCAACCUCACCGCCCUCGCCCACGCCCAGCUCGUCUCGGCGAUCGACGCCCACCCGGUCCCCGUUGGAAUCACGCCCACAGGUUGCAUUCUGCGCGCCAAAGAGAUUGUUUCAGUGAUCGUAGAUUGAAUAGCAGUGGCUUUAUAGGUGAUGCUUCCUAAAUCAAAACUCAAAAAUGUAUUAGUUUAAAAUUAUCGUUAAUUCGCAAAGUAACCAUAAGCAUCUGCUGAAACGGCGAGAUCGAUUACGUCUGACUGCCUGUCAUUACAAUUUGGCACUGGCCUAAAAGUUCAUUCAACCGCUGUAGCUUCAGCGAUCUUCUCUCUCUUUUUUUUGUCCAGUGGUUAGGCCUUUGCUCUGAUUAUUACUAAUGAUGAUAGUACCAUUAUUUCAUAUCAUUGUCAUUGCUACUGUUAAACUGAAUAUUCUACUCAUCAGUCCGUUGGUAUCUUUUUCGCCCUUCAGCGCUCGACCUGCACCGCAUCGGCUCCGCUGCCGUGUCUCACAACGUCCUGAACUCCGGCGUGGACUUCCUGCGGGCCGCCCUGGACCGCUGGGACGGCAACGCCUCCUCCGCCAGGAGCUUAGAUGUUUUUGACGCGCGCGUAGAUCUUGACGACGUUGUGAAGACCUUCAAGAAAGCCACGAAAAUUCACGACCAGCUCCUCGAGAAGAAGGGCUCUCGCUCCAAACUGCACAGCACACACGCCUCGCCCCUCAACAAGACGCUGGCGAGGAAGAAGAAGUACCACAAGAAAGAGGAGGUCCACCUUGGCAACCUCGGGGCCGAAACGCAGGGCAUGAAGCAGUAUUUGCGUCUGUGUCGUGGCGAGGAUCUCAGGCCAGUCUCCACAACCUCCCGCCUUCCUGCCGCUACGUGA
Molecule: non-coding RNA, 1204 nt
Organism: Penaeus vannamei (Pacific white shrimp)
Lineage: Eukaryota; Metazoa; Arthropoda; Malacostraca; Decapoda; Penaeidae
Source: RefSeq, a predicted model, not a curated record